AAAGUCGUAACAAGGUUUCCGUAGGUGAACCUGCGGAAGGAUCAUUAUUGAAUAUGCUUGAUAGGUUGUAGCUGGCUCUUCGGAGUAUGUGCACGCUUAUCUUGACUUAAUUCAUCCACCUGUGCACCUUUUGUAGUCUUGGGGGUUGAGAUCGGUCGACUAUCGGAUGGCCAAGGUCAUUCCGGAUGUGAGGAAUGCUGAGUGCGAAAGCAUACAGCUCUUCUCAAAUGACUUGUCUUCCUCGAGUACUAUGUAUUCAUAUACCACAUAGUAUGUUGUAGAAUGUGAUCAAUGGGUCUAUGUACCUAUAAUAAUCAUAUACAACUUUCAGCAACGGAUCUCUUGGCUCUC
Molecule: unclassified non-coding RNA, 351 nt
Filed under: Basidiomycota sp.
Lineage: Eukaryota; Fungi; Basidiomycota
Description: partial contains small subunit ribosomal RNA, internal transcribed spacer 1, and 5.8S ribosomal RNA
Rfam family: Eukaryotic small subunit ribosomal RNA (bases 1-47)
Source: RNAcentral